RNAcentral lists this ribosomal RNA (429 nucleotides) under uncultured bacterium. RNAcentral describes it as "bacterial SSU rRNA". It matches the Rfam family "Bacterial small subunit ribosomal RNA", at positions 355 to 775 of the family's 1533-position model. The record is from RNAcentral.
UGGGGAAUUGUUCGCAAUGGGCGCAAGCCUGACGACGCAACGCCGCGUGGAGGAUGAAGAUCUUCGGGUCGUAAACUCCUGUCGAGCGGGACGAAUGGCCCGCGACCUAAUACGUCGUGGGAGUGACGGUACCGCGAGAGGAAGCCCCGGCUAACUCCGUGCCAGCAGCCGCGGUAAUACGGGGGGGGCUAGCGUUGUUCGGAAUUACUGGGCGUAAAGGGCUCGUAGGUGGCCAACUAAGUCACUCGUGAAAUCCCUCGGCUUAACCGAGGAACUGCGUGUGAUACUGGAUGGCUUGAAUCCGGGAGAGGGAUGCGGAAUUCCAGGUGUAGCGGUGAAAUGCGUAGAUAUCUGGAGGAACACCGGUGGCGAAGGCGGCAUCCUGGACCGGUAUUGACACUGAGGAGCGAAAGCCAGGGGAGCAAACGG